This 71-nucleotide transfer RNA is filed under the name Lachnospiraceae bacterium. RNAcentral describes it as "tRNA-Cys". It matches the Rfam family "tRNA". Rfam says of the family: Transfer RNA (tRNA) molecules are approximately 80 nucleotides in length. The record is from RNAcentral. RNAcentral also lists the same sequence under 2 other names. Lineage: Bacteria; Bacillati; Bacillota; Clostridia; Lachnospirales; Lachnospiraceae.
GGCGCAGUAGCCAAGCGGUAAGGCGUGGGUCUGCAACACCCUGAUCACCAGUUCGAAUCUGGUCUGUGCCU